This 458-nucleotide ribosomal RNA is filed under the name Theileria annulata. Its description in RNAcentral is "SSU rRNA". It matches the Rfam family "Eukaryotic small subunit ribosomal RNA", at positions 486 to 984 of the family's 1831-position model. The record is from RNAcentral. Lineage: Eukaryota; Apicomplexa; Aconoidasida; Piroplasmida; Theileriidae.
CGGGGCUUAAAGUCUUGUAAUUGGAAUGAUGGGAAUUUAAACCUCUUCCAGAGUAUCAAUUGGAGGGCAAGUCUGGUGCCAGCAGCCGCGGUAAUUCCAGCUCCAAUAGCGUAUAUUAAAAUUGUUGCAGUUAAAAAGCUCGUAGUUGAAUUUCUGCUCCAUUGCUUGUGUCCCUCUGGGGUCUGUGCAUGUGGCUUUUUUCGGACGGAGUUUCUUUGUCUGAAUGUUUACUUUGAGAAAAUUAGAGUGCUCAAAGCAGGCUUUCGCCUUGAAUAGUUUAGCAUGGAAUAAUAAAGUAGGACUUUGGUUCUAUUUUGUUGGUUUUAGGUACCAAAGUAAUGGUUAAUAGGAACAGUUGGGGGCAUUCGUAUUUAACUGUCAGAGGUGAAAUUCUUAGAUUUGUUAAAGACGAACUACUGCGAAAGCAUUUGCCAAGGAUGUUUUCAUUAAUCAAGAAC